Pteronotus mesoamericanus is the source of this 167-nucleotide small nuclear RNA. RefSeq annotates it as U1 spliceosomal RNA. The record is from RefSeq and is a predicted model, not a curated record. The transcript has a single exon. NCBI's taxonomy places the organism in Eukaryota, Metazoa, Chordata, Mammalia, Chiroptera, Mormoopidae.
AUAUGGACCUUGCAGAGGACAUACCACUGUCACAAGGGUGGCCUUCCCAUAGGGAGGCUUAUCCAUUGCACUCCGGGUGUGCCGGCCCUUGAGAUUUCCCUCAAUGUGGGAAACUCAACUUGCCUGCACAGUUUGCAGUGGUGGGAGACUGCGUUCACACUCUCCCC